ACACAGGUUUAAAAUGGGCUGGGU
This 24-nucleotide non-coding RNA is filed under the name Arabidopsis thaliana (thale cress). The record is from RNAcentral. Lineage: Eukaryota; Viridiplantae; Streptophyta; Magnoliopsida; Brassicales; Brassicaceae.